Non-coding RNA from Coniochaeta sp. 2T2.1, 108 nucleotides. The record is from the annotation of a GenBank genome assembly. NCBI's taxonomy places the organism in Eukaryota, Fungi, Ascomycota, Sordariomycetes, Coniochaetales, Coniochaetaceae.
UCUUCCGUAGUAUAGUGGGUAGUAUAUGAGCUUGUCAAUAUAUCCGCCCAUAGGGUUGGAGCAUUUAAAUAUUCGCUCGGGACCCGGGUUCAAUUCCCGGCGGGAGAG